GAUGAACGCUGGCGGCGCGCCUAACACAUGCAAGUCGAACGAUUAAAGCACCUUUUAGGUGUGUAUAAAGUGGCGAACGGCUGAGUAACACGUGGGCAACCUGCCCUCCUCUUGGGGAUAGCCUCGGGAAACCGAGGAUAAUACCCGAUACUUCACUUGAGCCGCAUGACUCAAGUGAGAAAGCUUUUGCGGAGAAGGAUGGGCCCGCGGCCUGUUAGCUUGUUGGUGGGGUAGAGGCCUACCAAGGCAAUGAUGGGUAGCUGGGUUGAGAGACCGACCAGCCAGAUUGGGACUGAGACACGGCCCAGACUCCUACGGGAGGCAGCAGUGGGGAAUCUUGCACAAUGGGCGAAAGCCUGAUGCAGCGACGCCGCGUGCGGGACGAAGGCCUUCGGGUUGUAAACCGCUUUCAGCAGGGACGAGGCGUAAGUGACGGUACCUGCAGAAGAAGCCCCGGCCAACUACGUGCCAGCAGCCGCGGUAAUACGUAGGGGGCAAGCGUUAUCCGGAUUCAUUGGGCGUAAAGCGCUCGUAGGCGGUCUGUUAGGUCGGGAGUUAAAUCCGGAGGCUCAACCUCCGUCCGCUCCCGAUACCGGCAGACUUGAGUUUGGUAGGGGAAGGUGGAAUUCCUAGUGUAGCGGUGGAAUGCGCAGAUAUUAGGAAGAACACCAGUGGCGAAGGCGGCCUUCUGGGCCAUAACUGACGCUGAGGAGCGAAAGCUAGGGGAGCAAACAGG
Molecule: ribosomal RNA, 736 nt
Filed under: uncultured Atopobium sp.
Lineage: Bacteria; Bacillati; Actinomycetota; Coriobacteriia; Coriobacteriales; Atopobiaceae
Description: bacterial SSU rRNA
Rfam family: Bacterial small subunit ribosomal RNA
Source: RNAcentral